UACGUAGGGUGCAAGCGUUGUCCGGAAUUAUUGGGCGUAAAGAGCUCGUAGGCGGUUUGUCGCGUCUGCUGUGAAAACGGGGGGCUCAACCCCCAGCCUGCAGUGGGUACGGGCAGACUAGAGUGCGGUAGGGGAGAUUGGAAUUCCUGGUGUAGCGGUGGAAUGCGCAGAUAUCAGGAGGAACACCGAUGGCGAAGGCAGAUGCCUGGGCCGUAACUGACGCUGAGGAGCGAAAGCAUGGGGAGCGAACCGG
This 253-nucleotide ribosomal RNA is filed under the name uncultured bacterium. Its description in RNAcentral is "partial 16S ribosomal RNA". It matches the Rfam family "Bacterial small subunit ribosomal RNA", at positions 524 to 776 of the family's 1533-position model. The record is from RNAcentral.